GACGAACGCUGGCGGCGUGCUUAACACAUGCAAGUCGAACGGAAAGGCCCUGCUUUUGUGGGGUGCUCGAGUGGCGAACGGGUGAGUAACACGUGAGUAACCUGCCCUUGACUUUGGGAUAACUACAGGAAACUGGGGCUAAUACCGGAUAGGAGCUCCUGCUGCAUGGUGGGGGUUGGAAAGUUUCGGCGGUUGGGGAUGGACUCGCGGCUUAUCAGCUUGUUGGUGGGGUAGUGGCUUACCAAGGCUUUGACGGGUAGCCGGCCUGAGAGGGUGACCGGCCACAUUGGGACUGAGAUACGGCCCAGACUCCUACGGUAGGCAGCAGUGGGGAAUAUUGCACAAUGGGCGGAAGCCUGAGGCAGCAACGCCGCGUUCGGGAUGACGGCCUUCGGGUUGUAAACCGCUUUCGCCUGUGACGAAGCGUGAGUGACGGUAAUGGGUAAAGAAGCACCGGCUAACUACGUG
Molecule: ribosomal RNA, 468 nt
Filed under: uncultured bacterium
Lineage: Bacteria
Description: partial 16S ribosomal RNA
Rfam family: Bacterial small subunit ribosomal RNA
Source: RNAcentral